CCGAUUCUCGUCGACGAAGAAGAUCGGGUUCCCGGCUAGAGAAGGCUGACAAGGGAUGUAACAAUGGUGGAAAAUCGGGAUCAAGAGUGGGGCCCGCUUGAGCGCGUUUCUCGCGACCUUGAGCGCUUUUUCCGGAUCCAACGGCCUGGGACCACCGCCACCCCAGCUCUUGGACCAGAGAUUGUUGCGCGCGAUUUGGAUCGACACGGCAGCGAUGGGGAGAUCUAAGGCUGAUCGGAGG
Molecule: long non-coding RNA, 241 nt
Filed under: Linum usitatissimum (flax)
Lineage: Eukaryota; Viridiplantae; Streptophyta; Magnoliopsida; Malpighiales; Linaceae
Description: long non-coding RNA (LUSI_LNC000501)
Source: RNAcentral